AAAAUGGUACAAGUGUCUAAGCCAUAAAUACAAAAGCAAAUGUUGUCAAAUCAAUUUCAUGACAUUAAUAAAUUCUCUUUUUUUUAAAAAAUGCUCCUGUGCUACAGAGACAAUAGAAGGCAUUAUCCACACAAUUCAAGACCCACACAAGUCAAACACAAUUCAGGAUCCACACAAGUGA
Pimephales promelas (fathead minnow) is the source of this 181-nucleotide non-coding RNA. NCBI's taxonomy places the organism in Eukaryota, Metazoa, Chordata, Actinopteri, Cypriniformes, Leuciscidae. The record is from RefSeq and is a predicted model, not a curated record.